Molecule: ribosomal RNA, 466 nt
Filed under: uncultured bacterium
Lineage: Bacteria
Description: partial 16S ribosomal RNA
Rfam family: Bacterial small subunit ribosomal RNA
Source: RNAcentral
GAUGAACGCUGACAGAAUGCUUAACACAUGCAAGUCAACUUGAAUUUGGGUUUUUAACUUAGGUUUGGGUGGCGGACGGGUGAGUAACGCGUAAAGAACUUGCCUCACAGCUAGGGACAACAUUUGGAAACGAAUGCUAAUACCUAAUAUUAUGAUAAUAGGGCAUCCUAUAAUUAUGAAAGCUAUAAGCGCUGUGAGAGAGCUUUGCGUCCCAUUAGCUAGUUGGAGAGGUAACGGCUCACCAAGGCGAUGAUGGGUAGCCGGCCUGAGAGGGUGAUCGGCCACAAGGGGACUGAGACACGGCCCUUACUCCUACGGGAGGCAGCAGUGGGGAAUAUUGGACAAUGGACCAAGAGUCUGAUCCAGCAAUUCUGUGUGCACGAUGAAGUUUUUCGGAAUGUAAAGUGCUUUCAGUUGGGAAGAAAGAAAGGACGGUACCAACAGAAGAAAUGACGGCUAAAUACGU